This 281-nucleotide small RNA is filed under the name Notechis scutatus (mainland tiger snake). RNAcentral's name for it is "7SK RNA (ENSNSUG00000016451.1)". The record is from RNAcentral. Lineage: Eukaryota; Metazoa; Chordata; Lepidosauria; Squamata; Elapidae.
GAAUGAGAGCAAGUAGUGGCUGUGAUAGCUAUUAAUCCACUGACCAGCAAGGUUGUUUCAGUUGAUCUAGCCGAGAAGGCAAAUGUUCUGUUUCUCCUGCACCCUCCCAAAGCUGCAUGCUCUGUGGAAAAUAAUGUCCAGCCUAGAUUGGAGUGUACCAUUCUUUGGCAAGGAUAUAUAGAAGCUGCACUCCCAUGCUACGACUUCAAAUGAACAUUCCUUGCUAAUAUUUGAUAUCAGUUCCUAUCUCUCUAUUGCUACUUUUAUUGACGUCCAACAAA